Molecule: non-coding RNA, 29 nt
Filed under: Mus musculus (house mouse)
Lineage: Eukaryota; Metazoa; Chordata; Mammalia; Rodentia; Muridae
Source: RNAcentral
UACAAGGUCCUAGGUUCAACUUUCAGCUA